CACUCUUGGUGGGUCUUUUUUUGUGUUUUGUAGGCAGCAUAUAUCUUACUUGGUCAUGCUCCUUUGAUCCAUUUAUUGAGUAGCUCAUAAUGAUGACAGUUUUGAGUGGGGCUUAGAGCAAAAUAUGGCUCUGGAACAAGUCCAGUCUGUGGUGCAAAGUGAUACGGAGUUUCCUGAUGCUGCUGCAGGCCCCAUGGCACAGAAAACAUCGACAGCAAACAGUGAUACUGUGUGAAGCCUCUGGCAAGUCCCAAAAGGGGCCUGACACCUGGGGUUUGUAUUGAGAUCUUCUUCUGUGACAAUUAUUCUCUUUUUGAAAAGCAGCUCUUGGACCCAGGUAGAAGCUGAAUGUCCAGCCAUGAGAUACUAAGUGACUAUGGGAGCUGACUCAUGACCUUGAUGUUACAUGAGACCCUGAAGCAUAACAUUGGCAUGUAGAGUAGCAUUUCAUUACAAAAUACAAAUGGAAUAUGUGGUGCAAGGUCUGCAUUGUUCUGGAGAUACCAGUAAACUACACGUAACGGAUGUGUUUCGAAGAUUUGAUAUUUUUUAUAUUUAAUUCUUCAAUCCAUCUGGAAUUGAUUUCUCCGCAUGAUGUGAAGAAUUGUUGUUAUCCCCAUUUGUUAUGUCUCCAGAACUUCAGGCUCAAGUCUUUGCGACCCCAUAGACUGCAGCCUGCCA
Odocoileus virginianus texanus is the source of this 681-nucleotide non-coding RNA. The record is from RefSeq and is a predicted model, not a curated record. NCBI's taxonomy places the organism in Eukaryota, Metazoa, Chordata, Mammalia, Artiodactyla, Cervidae.